This 914-nucleotide ribosomal RNA is filed under the name uncultured bacterium. Its description in RNAcentral is "bacterial SSU rRNA". It matches the Rfam family "Bacterial small subunit ribosomal RNA", at positions 8 to 916 of the family's 1533-position model. The record is from RNAcentral.
AGAGUUUGAUCCUGGCUCAGAUUGAACGCUGGCGGCAUGCCUUACACAUGCAAGUCGAACGGCAGCACGGGGGGCAACCCCUGGUGGCGAGUGGCGCACGGGUGAGUAAUAUAUCGGAACGUACCCUGUAGCGGGGGAUAACCUCUCGAAAGAGAGGCUAAUACCGCAUACGACCUACGGGUGAAAGCGGAGGACCGCAAGGCGUCGCACUACAGGAGCGGCCGAUACCGGAUUAGCUAGUUGGCGGGGUAAUGGCCCACCAAGGCUACGAUCCGUAGCUGGUCUGAGAGGACGAUCAGCCACACUGGAACUGACACACGGUCCAGACUCCUACGGGAGGCAGCAGUGGGGAAUUUUGGACAAUGGGCGCAAGCCUGAUCCAGCCAUGCCGCGUGAGUGAAGAAGGCCUUCGGGUUGUAAAGCUCUUUCGGCGGGGACGAAACGGUUCGUGCUAAUACCACGGACUAAUGACGGUACCCGAAGAAGAAGCACCGGCUAACUACGUGCCAGCAGCCGCGGUAAUACGUAGGGUGCAGGCGUUAAUCGGAAUUACUGGGCGUAAAGCGUGCGCAGGCGGUUUGUUAAGACAGGUGUGAAAUCCCCGGGCUUAACCUGGGAACUGCGCUUGUUACUGGCAGACUUGAGUGUGGCAGAGGGGGGUGGAAUUCCACGUGUAGCAGUGAAAUGCGUAGAGAUGUGGAGGAACACCGAUGGCGAAGGCAGCCCCCUGGGUUAACACUGACGCUCAUGCACGAAAGCGUGGGGAGCAAACAGGAUUAGAUACCCUGGUAGUCCACGCCCUAAACUAUGUCAACUGGUUGUCGGGGAAGCAAUUCCUUGGUAACGAAGCUAACGCGUGAAGUUGACCGCCUGGGGAGUACGGCCGCAAGGUUAAAACUCAAAGGAAUUGACGG